GACGAACGCUGGCGGCGUGCUUAACACAUGCAAGUCGAACGGAAAGGCCCUGCUUUUGUGGGGUGCUCGAGUGGCGAACGGGUGAGUAACACGUGAGUAACCUGCCCUUGACUUUGGGAUAACUUCAGGAAACUGGGGCUAAUACCGGAUAGGAGCUCCUGCUGCAUGGUGGGGGUUGGAAAGUUUCGGCGGUUGGGGAUGGACUCGCGGCUUUUCAGCUUGUUGGUGGGGUAGUGGCUUACCAAGGCUUUGACGGGUAGCCGGCCUGAGAGGGUGACCGGCCACAUUGGGACUGAGAUACGGCCCAGACUCCUACGGGAGGCAGCAGUGGGGAAUAUUGCACAAUGGGCGGAAGCCUGAUGCAGCGACGCCGCGUGCGGGAUGACGGCCUUCGGGUUGUAAACCGCUUUCGCCUGUGACGAAGCGUGAGUGACGGUAAUGGGUAAAGAAGCACCGGCGAACUACGU
This 467-nucleotide ribosomal RNA is filed under the name uncultured bacterium. RNAcentral's name for it is "partial 16S ribosomal RNA". It matches the Rfam family "Bacterial small subunit ribosomal RNA", at positions 28 to 506 of the family's 1533-position model. The record is from RNAcentral.